This is a long non-coding RNA of Onychostoma macrolepis, 1001 nucleotides long. RefSeq lists it as uncharacterized. Lineage: Eukaryota; Metazoa; Chordata; Actinopteri; Cypriniformes; Cyprinidae. The transcript is spliced from 4 exons. The record is from RefSeq and is a predicted model, not a curated record.
AGAAAUACAAUUCUCUUGUACUAGACUCUGCGACUAACAUUGAUGUAGCUGUGGUGGAGCAUUCCCUGACUGGAGAGAGCACUGUGUCUCAAAUAUGGCCGUAGGAGGUUCAUGGCAGUGCAAACAUUUCGAUCAAGAAACAACUGCAUGACCAAGUGAUGUUGACAGUGCGACUGCAAGAGGAAAAAAGCAUUUUGGUGUUGGAGAUGGAUGGCACAACACUGCACAUGGUUGCAGAGCCUGCAGUGGUUCUGAAGAACAAGAUAGCUGAGGAGCAUGUAGACAAGGGAAAUGAGGGACUUUGCUGUCUCUUAAGAAGACGACUGUCAGAGGUGUCAGAAAGGUUGCAAGUGCUCCUCCAACAGUACAAGACUGCUUUAGGCCCCGAGGCCUCUGCCCUUCUACAUGUUGAAGCAGAAGAUCAAGGUGGCCUCAGUAGUCCAGACACCAGUGAGGAUGAAGAAGAAAACACAAUUUAGAUGGAAGCUGCACAAAGGACUGUGUUGAAGGAAAUGGCCUUGCCCAGUAUCUGUGUGUUUUUAGUAUGUUGAUUGAUUUACCACAUCAACAUCUGGAUGCAUUCUAUAUUGUUGAAAAUUAAACCUGUGUCUGUAGAUUGCCAAGCAAUUGAGUAAGCACAUGAAUGCUCCUUGAAGAUGCACAAACCUCUUAGUAUAGGUGCACCAAUCUCAGCCAAAAAUGUUAACUUUGCACAUAUCAUAUUACCAGAUGUAAUAUCUUGACAUGAUAUUUGGGUAGUGUAUUCAUACUCCUUUAAGAGAGACUCCCCUUGAUUGGGGUGACCCUGUGACCUUUCCUUUUGUGUAAAACUCAAGGCUAAACUUUUGACUUGUAUACAACAAAUGUUAGGAAAAGAUUUCUAAGUCAUUUGCUGAGCAUUCUCAAGCUUCCCAGGCAUUGAAUCCUGUCGGUUUUGUUGACCUCAUAACAUUCCCUGUAGCACAACCCUCAGACCAAAAUGUAGAGUUUGAUAUUUCUUA